CGGAACGGGUGAGUAACGCGUGAGGAACCUGCCUCAAAGAGGGGGACAACAGUUGGAAACGACUGCUAAUACCGCAUAAGCCCACGGCUCGGCAUCGAGCAGAGGGAAAAGGAGCAAUCCGCUUUGAGAUGGCCUCGCGUCCGAUUAGCUAGUUGGUGAGGUAACGGCCCACCAAGGCGACGAUCGGUAGCCGGACUGAGAGGUUGAACGGCCACACUGGGACUGAGACACGGCCCAG
This 238-nucleotide ribosomal RNA is filed under the name uncultured bacterium. RNAcentral's name for it is "partial 16S ribosomal RNA". It matches the Rfam family "Bacterial small subunit ribosomal RNA", at positions 100 to 334 of the family's 1533-position model. The record is from RNAcentral.